GGAGCGGCGCGGGCGCGGGAAAAGUUCGCAUUUUGACUUGGUACGGAGGGAGUCAAGCUCGAACUUUUCCUGCGUCGCUGCCC
RNAcentral lists this microRNA precursor (83 nucleotides) under Heliconius melpomene (postman butterfly). RNAcentral's name for it is "microRNA hme-mir-6307 precursor". The record is from miRBase by way of RNAcentral. Lineage: Eukaryota; Metazoa; Arthropoda; Insecta; Lepidoptera; Nymphalidae.